UGGGGAAUCUUGCACAAUGGGGGAAACCCUGAUGCAGCGACGCCGCGUGAACGAUGAAGCCCUUCGGGGUGUAAAGUUCUUUCGACAGGAACGAUAAUGACGGUACCGGGAGAAGAAGCUGCGGCUAACUACGUGCCAGCAGCCGCGGUAAUACGUAGGCAGCAAGCGUUGUUCGGAGUUACUGGGCGUAAAGAGUGCGUAGGCGGUUUUCUAAGUUCGGUGUGAAAUCUCCCGGCUUAACUGGGAGGGUGCGCCGAAGACUGGGAAGCUGGAGUGUGGGAAAGGCAGGCGGAAUUCCUGGUGUAGCGGUGAAAUGCGUAGAUAUCAGGAGGAACACCGGCGGUGUAGACGGCUUGCUAGACCAUAACUGACGCU
RNAcentral lists this ribosomal RNA (375 nucleotides) under uncultured bacterium. Its description in RNAcentral is "bacterial SSU rRNA". It matches the Rfam family "Bacterial small subunit ribosomal RNA", at positions 355 to 747 of the family's 1533-position model. The record is from RNAcentral.